GGGCGCUUAGCUCAGUUGGUAGAGCGUCUGCCUUACAAGCAGAAUGUCGGCGGUUCGAUCCCGUCAGCGCCUG
This 73-nucleotide transfer RNA is filed under the name Acinetobacter baumannii. RNAcentral's name for it is "tRNA-Val". It matches the Rfam family "tRNA". Rfam says of the family: Transfer RNA (tRNA) molecules are approximately 80 nucleotides in length. Their secondary structure includes four short double-helical elements and three loops (D, anti-codon, and T loops). Lineage: Bacteria; Pseudomonadati; Pseudomonadota; Gammaproteobacteria; Moraxellales; Moraxellaceae. The record is from RNAcentral.